RNAcentral lists this long non-coding RNA (200 nucleotides) under Lathyrus oleraceus (garden pea). RNAcentral's name for it is "Pisum sativum (pea) long non-coding RNA (PSAT_LNC042332)". The record is from RNAcentral. Lineage: Eukaryota; Viridiplantae; Streptophyta; Magnoliopsida; Fabales; Fabaceae.
UCAUUUUGAACUCGAUAGUUGCUAAUGUACAGUAGAACUUUUCUUGAACAACUUAAAGGUAUGGAGAUGACUUGUCUGUUUGUAGCCUACCUUGCUCUAGCCUGUUGGGUCUCUAAAGGGAUUUUCCUUAAGAGGACGUUUGGAAGCAGUCUUACCAUAAUAUAAUUUUAAGAUGGAUCGCCACAGUGUUUCAAACCUUG